GGGGCGCUACCUGCAGUCGAACGGUAACAGGAAACAGCUUGCUGUUUUGCUGACGAGUGGCGGACGGGUGAGUAAUGUCUGGGAAACUGCCUGAUGGAGGGGGAUAACUACUGGAAACGGUAGCUAAUACCGCAUAACGUCGCAAGACCAAAGAGGGGGACCUUCGGGCCUCUUGCCAUCGGAUGUGCCCAGAUGGGAUUAGCUAGUAGGUGGGGUAACGGCUCACCUAGGCGACGAUCCCUAGCUGGUCUGAGAGGAUGACCAGCCACACUGGAACUGAGACACGGUCCAGACUCCUACGGGAGGCAGCAGUGGGGAAUAUUGCACAAUGGGCGCAAGCCUGAUGCAGCCAUGCCGCGUGUAUGAAGAAGGCCUUCGGGUUGUAAAGUACUUUCAGCGGGGAGGAAGGGAGUAAAGUUAAUACCUUUGCUCAUUGACGUUACCCGCAGAAGAAGCACCGGCUAACUCCGUGCCAGCAGCCGCGGUAAUACGGAGGGUGCAAGCGUUAAUCGGAAUUACUGGGCGUAAAGCGCACGCAGGCGGUUUGUUAAGUCAGAUGUGAAAUCCCCGGGCUCAACCUGGGAACUGCAUCUGAUACUG
Molecule: ribosomal RNA, 600 nt
Filed under: Escherichia coli
Lineage: Bacteria; Pseudomonadati; Pseudomonadota; Gammaproteobacteria; Enterobacterales; Enterobacteriaceae
Description: bacterial SSU rRNA
Rfam family: Bacterial small subunit ribosomal RNA
Source: RNAcentral